GGGCUACACACGUGCUACAAUGGCGGUACAAAGAGUUGCGAUACCGCGAGGUGGAGCUAAUCUCAUAAAGCCGGUCUCAGUUCGGAUUGGAGUCUGCAACUCGACUCCAUGAAGUUGGAAUCGCUAGUAAUCGCGGAUCAGCAUGCCGCGGUGAAUACGUUCCCGGGCCUU
Molecule: ribosomal RNA, 171 nt
Filed under: uncultured Geobacter sp.
Lineage: Bacteria; Pseudomonadati; Thermodesulfobacteriota; Desulfuromonadia; Geobacterales; Geobacteraceae
Description: partial 16S ribosomal RNA
Rfam family: Bacterial small subunit ribosomal RNA
Source: RNAcentral